CAAGUGAUGAUUAUUGGAGGUAGAGCACUGUUUGGACGAGGGGCCCCUCUCGGGUUACCGAAUUCAGACAAACUCCGAAUGCCAAUUAAUUUAACUUGGGAGUCAGAACAUGGGUGAUAAGGUCCGUGUUCGAAAGGGAAACAGCCCAGACCACCAGCUAAGGUCCCAAAAUAUAUGUUAAGUGGAAAAGGAUGUGGCGUUGCCCAGACAACUAGGAUGUUGGCUUAGAAGCAGCCAUCAUUUAAAGAGUGCGUAAUAGCUCACUAGUCGAGUGACACUGCGCCGAAAAUGUACCGGGGCUAAACAUAUUACCGAAGCUGUGGAUUGUCCUUUGGACAAU
This 340-nucleotide ribosomal RNA is filed under the name Staphylococcus aureus. Its description in RNAcentral is "partial 23S ribosomal RNA". It matches the Rfam family "Bacterial large subunit ribosomal RNA", at positions 883 to 1226 of the family's 2925-position model. The record is from RNAcentral. Lineage: Bacteria; Bacillati; Bacillota; Bacilli; Caryophanales; Staphylococcaceae.